UUGUUGACUAAGAGACAACGUAUGCUAGGAACUGGAAAAUCGGUGGAGAUGCCAGAAAGUCUCUGACCUCCGGGAGCUCACAUUCCAGUGGGGAGACAGAUAUAAACCUGCAAACACCAGCUUUCCUGCUCCUGGCCUCAUAGGGAGGACCCAUUUGCAGUAGAAGAUGAUGCACACAUGCAGAGAGAAACAGAGGAGAUGGGGAGUCCUGACACUGUACAAGUUUAUGGAUGGAGUCAACCCUGAGACUGAGACUGUCCCCAUCCCACUCUUCCCAGUGAGUGUCUGUCUGUCCUCCUUCCUUGAUUAAAUUAGUUUGAAUUAAGUUCUGUGGCUUGCAAAUGGAGAAUUCUGACUCUGUAAGAAGUGUUCAUGGGAUAAUAGAGGAAGAUGCAAAUGAUUCAGUUUUAUAAAGUGAGGACAGGCUUCAUAGAGGUGAAGAAUACCAAGCUUUGUCUUUAGAGAUUAGGGCUUCUGCAGCAGAAUGAAAAGGAGGGCAUUUCUAGGAGGCAGAGAACAGUGCGUUUUGGGUGAACAAUAUAGUAAUACAAUAUAGGGAGAGACAAUAGAAGAGUGUGCACAACUUAGAUCCCAAGGGUACUUCCUUGGAUGCUUUUCUGUUGAAUUUCGGUUUUGUCCUAUAAGCAAUAAGUGGGAAGUGAGUAACAGGUUUUAAGCAGAGCUAUGAUAUGGUCAGAUUAGUCUUUUAUUAUUUUAUUUUAUUUUUUUAAAUUUUUAUUUACUUUCAGUGAGAGACAGAGAGCAAGUGGAGGAGGGGCAGAGAGAGAGGUAGACACAAACCCAAGCAGGCUCUGCACUCAUAGAGCAAUGUGGGGCUCAAACUCGCAAACCGCGAGAUCAUGAUGUGAAUCGAAAUCAAGAGUCAGACGCUUAACUGACUGAGCCACCCAGGCGCCCCAGAUUAGUCUUUUAGAAAGAUAAUUGGUCACCGUGAUGGGCAGUUGGCAAAAGGGGAAAAAAAAUCAGAGAGGGUAGAUAGGAGGUUACUGCAGCAAAAUAGGUAAGAAAUGACAAUCUGAACAAGGGCUGUGCAGGGGAUGGGCCAUAGAAAGUCAGGAUGUGACCUGGAGGAGUGGGUGCCCCACUGGACAAGAGAAGGGAGGGAGAAGAGUCUGACAUAACCCUUGGCUUCUGACUGGGACGGCCAGAUGGAGGGUGGAGGCACUGAUACUAUGAAGGAAGGUCAGGUUCUAGGGGCAGGGGUGAGGGGGUGAGGAGGUGAGGGGAGACAAUAGAUUCCACUAGGCAUGACUAAUGCCCAUGGGAGAUGUCUAACAGACGUGAAGAAGUAGGAGUAUACAGCUCAGCAGUGGAGACAGAGCUGAUGACAAAAGAUCUAGAAGUCAUUGUUAGAGCAUUGGGCCAGAUGCAGCCUCCAGAAAACCCCUGGGUAAUACUGCUUUCUAAAAGACCCCUAGAUAGGUUUUGUUCUCACUGUGUUAAUUUACCUUCAAAUACAAGUUCAGUACUUACAACGGCAAGAAAUAUCAGUGUCUAUUUUAUUGGUAUGACUUACAAUAGCUGAUGUGAAACGCCAGCCAUUCUAUUUGGGGUGGGGGGAGGUGAAAGUUGCUCACUGACUUAUCUACUUGCCUAGUGCUCUAUCUUUAUUAUCUUUAUUUUCUUUAUUUUUAAUUUUUUUUGCUUCAGUUACUCUAUUCAAGUGGCCUUUCUAAGCGCACAUAUAGCACUAUGGAAAACACUCAGGCUAAUGAUUUAGGAAGCCUUGAGAGUCUGGAGCUCUAAAGAAGCUGCUUUGGGAUCAGAUAGAUGCCUUUCACCCGUUGAAAGCCUUUCACGUUUAUUGUUAAGGAUGUUUCAAUAGAUGUUGGCUUUAUCAACGUCAACAAUAGAAAUAGUUUUCUGAGUUGCUUUUGGACUUAGCCAUCUUCAAGUACUUCGUCUCUCUUUUUAUUAUUUAUUUAUUUAAUUUCUUCUUUUGUUGGGUUUUUUGUUUUUCUUUUUUUUUAGCUGUUUGUAAGCUUUUCCCAAACAAUGAUGGAGGUCAACCAAUCAACACUCCAAAUACAGUGUAGCUACUUCUUCCUUCAUUAAAAACCUGGGUUUGCAGGGAAACAAAAAUGUCUCAGGGGGAGAUAAACCGAGAGCCAAGAGACCCGGGUUCUAGUAUAAACUCUCUCUGACUUUGUGCUCUUAGAUUGUUAUCUGACCUCUGUGCUGGCUCAGUUUCUACAUCUGAAAAGGUUUACCCUCUUGUAUGGCAUAUGUGGAAGUACUUUGAGUGUUUUAAAACGUCUCUGAAAGAAUGUAAGACAACAUGCCUAUCUACAACUGAUCAAGAGUCAUCUGUAUCCAUUCACGUUUGUGCGGAUAAAAGGAGAUGAGUAAAGACAGCCCUGGGCGUGGCACAUAGUAGGUGCUCAGUAAAAUCGCACUUUUCAGUGCUUCCCUUCCAUCUUCACUCAUUCCUCACCAUUUUUGUUUCAUACCUUCCCUAAGAUGCUUUUAGUCUUUCCUUGCUAAUAUAUUUAAACUUGGUUCAGAACAACCUGCAGUUUUCAGAAGCAAGACCACAAUUAAUAUUCUAGGAUAAUUACAUCUUGUGACAAUGCUAAGCUAGGAACAGCCCUGUCACCAUGCUUUAGGAGAUAUUUAUAGUGUAUUAUUUUAGAGAACAAACUAGCUAAUAGGUCAACUGUAACAAGCAGAAAGGAGAGCGGGAGACGCAGAACCUUGAGACUGUUCUGAUUAGCGAAGCACAUAGUGGUCCCAGACAAUUGAUUACAGGGUUGGUGGUUUGAGCCUGACUUGAGCUGUUCCCCUGCUAACUUUGGAGGCAAGAGGCAGUGUCAGACUUCUGCUUUCUCUUAGGGACCUUUGGUGUGUCAGUUUUAAAAAUGUCUUUAUUCUCUCUCCAUUGACAUUACCAUUUGUGAUUCUAAUGUUAUUAUACAUUGUCUCAAGUUUUUAAAAACAGACAUGUUAAUGAUAAUAAUAAUAAUGAGGGAUGUAUGGAGUACUCUACAAUGAAUUAAUCAUCCAGAUAUUCUGAAUGGAGGUAAUUUUAUGUCACUGAUGUUGAAUACCUUUAUGCUUCAGAGAAGAAUUUAAACUGUAAGACUCAGUGGCCAGUUGACCCUGUGAAAAUACCAGCCUUGAGCCUGAGUGUCAGAUCCUUGCUUGGCUAUGCAUUGGCUUCCCAAAGUCUCCCUCCUUAACCUGCCCCCCCCCCCAACCCCACACAGUAAACAACAUCAACCAACCUCAGGCCAUACUCAGCUACAAUUGGUCAGGCCCAACUGUUUGGUCAAAUAAAGUAAAAAUAGAUCCUCUUAUAAAGAAAAGGGAUUUUACAUUUCAUCAGUUUCAAAGCAGGAAUGAAAUGCCUUCUUUAACCUAAGAAUAACAGCUAGGGAUUUGAUCCCCCGUAAGUGCAACCAGGUCAUUGGGCAUUUCCUCCUCGUCCCCAGAGAAUUUUCUGUGCUGACAGAUUCUGAACGCCUGACUGACGUCCAGCCAGGAGCAGAGGCCUCCCCGGGGCUCAGGAGAGCCUGCCUAAAGACAGUGGCCCGGACUGCCGAGGCCGCGCUAUGCCUGAGCCAGGAAGCCACAGGCUGCUGCUGAGCUGCUGUGUUCAGCCUUCUUCCCUCUCUCCCAUCCCCAGACUCUCUUUCUAGAGGUGGAGGAAAGUACCUUCAGCGAAGCCCUAGAACUUUCAGGCACUCCAUUUCCAUAUUUUCCUGAGAUGAUUCCACAGGCAAGUGGAGACCACGUCAUUGCUCCAACUCCUGCAGAAGAAGGAAACUGAAUAUGGUGCUUGUGCAAACUGAGAGCAAAAGUGUGGGAGUACUUAAACAGGACUUGGGUAGUUAUAGGAAAACAGCUAGUCAGAUAAGUCAGUAUACUUCUUUCCAUUACAUUUUAGUUAUUUACAAGUUGUGCUUCAUUUUAAAAUUUCUUUUAAUGUUUAUUUAUUUUUGAGAGGGAGAGAGAGAGGAACAGGGCCUGAGCAGGGGAGGGGGAGAGAGUGAGGGAGGCACAAUCUGAACCAGGUUCCGGGCUCUGAGCUCUCAGUACAGAGUCCAAUGCGGGGCUCAAACCCAUGCACCAUGAGAUCAUGGCCUGAGCUGAAGUGGGACGCUUAACUGACUGGGCCACCCAGGCGCCCCGGUCGUGCUUCAUUUUUAUAAACCAGUUGAACACGUCCUGUCAGUUGUAGGGAGCAGGCCUUGUCUUCAGGCCAAACAAGCCUGAAACUGUGGCUCAUUCAUAAUUUCCUGAUGUCCAAAAUUGACGUCUCUUUUUAUACUCAGAGACAAACACUAUGACUUGCACAGGAGGAUGCUUCAGUGCUUCUCUGGUCCACUCUGCGCGAAUAGUGCCUGGUACAUAGAAGCCCCGUGCCUGCUGCAUGUUGGACACACAGCAAGUGCCAGCAAUUGUAACCGUUAUUGCUGUUGAAUUUUUUAUUCUUUUUUUUCCCCUCAGCCAGUACUUUUCCUGCUCUAUAGUUUAGGAACCUCUAUUUUUUAGGAAGAAAGUUAUCUCUGAACGGUGUUUUCAUAAAUAAGUCUGGACACGGCUUAUUCAUAUUUUUCUGAUAAUCCAAAAUUCUUAUGUAUAUGUUGCAUAUACAUUUCUUUCUUUGAAAUUAUGACAUCUACCUUCAUAGAUACGCAGUGCUAGGCUUGUCAGGUAUUCUAGAACUCCCCGUGUCUAACUUCUAACAGGCACGCAGUUGAAGAUUUAGAUGUAUAUAUCCAUAAUUUUUUUUUUUUUUUGGAAAGGCAGUUAUAAUCUACUCAAAGAUGCCUGCUUUGACUAGAGAUGCACCCUACAAAAAAAUGAGUUCAUUCCUUGUUUCUGCCCUUCUUUCUAUACGCAGUUUUUGGAACACCUACAGAGUACAGCUUAUACGCCAGUCACAAUUUACAACUGAUUGGAUUUCAUCAGUAAUACCCUAUAGGCUACCCUUUAGGGACUUCCGAUGUCUUUACAGUCUCUGAAAUGGAGAGUUCUUACAAUCUCUAUGUUAAUUAGGAACAUUAAGGAAAGCAUUUCAGUAAUACUUUUUUUCCAGAUCACUGAUACUUCUAUUGUUAAAAAUAAUCAGUAAAUUUGAUUGUGAAGAUUACCUAUUUUAUGGUAGAGCUCUGGUAGCUGAACCUCCACUUUCUCUCUCUGAAAAAGAUGAUACUCAGCUUGUUCACAGACCGGUGGGAUCAUAUUGAACUGCCUUGCUACAGAAUAGGCUUCCUGGGGAGAAAUAAGAUUGCAGCUGAAUUGAUACUGAUGAGAAAUAAGGCUGCCCUGUGAUUCGUAUGCAUGAGCAAACUUCGUUUUAGUGAAAUCAAUAGAAACCAAGAAACAUGUAGGAUGCCAAAUAAUAAGCGAUGUUAUGGCCAUCAAUCUCACUAAGAGCAAUAUCAAAUGCAAGAAAUCCUUAUUCUUUGGGAGGGUCUGGACCGAGUAAAGUCCAGGGCAAAUAAGUCAAAGUGUGAAUCGUAAUAGUCCAUGAUAAAACCCAUAAUUUAAGUUCCUAAAGAAAUAACUCACACUAACAUAUAAAGAUUAGCAUGUUAUAAACAGUAUAGUCAUUCAACAUAGUUUUUAAAAAGGAAGCCAGACUAUUUUGUUCAUGUAUGUCACUAGCUGGGGAAUCCAUUGUAUCCUCUUGCCACUGAAGAACAUGACAGAAUAUGAUUCUUGUUAGAGACCUGCACCUUCACUGUUGUAUUCUGACCUGAUGAGAUCCAGCCCCAUAUCCAUCUCUGUAACGACAGAAUUGAUCAUAGCAUUCUAGUGCCAGGGUGAUUGUUAAGAACGUUUGCGAAAGGUCUUGCAAUUUACACAUUGUAUCUGAAAGAUAAUAAUAAGGUAUUUAAUGGCCGUUUAAAAACAGAAAUGAAAUUACCAUGAUCUCCAUAGCACUCCACCGGGAGGUCCCCCAGUACAUUGCCAUUCCUUGGUUUAUCACAUGUGUCAUGGCUCGAACAAUUUCUGUAGAAGCCCAAACAGCAUUUCGUUAGUUUCUCUAAUUCUCAGAGUUAUGUGAUCUUUUUUUUUUUUCUCCGCCUGCCCAAAUGUUAGAAGCUUAAUGCAAUUAUUUGUUUUAUUAAUAGAAUUACUUUGACACUGGUGACAACAUAAUAGUCUAACAUGAAAUAUUGACGGUGCGGAGGCUGCUGGUACUUUUGGAUAAUUCGACUUUCCAUUUUCGGUUUGCAGCAAUACCACUAAAUGAUAUUAAAAACAUAAUGACCACUUUAAGUUCUUCCUUUACUUUUAUUACUUCAUGGUUGCUGGCCUGAUUAAAGAACAUAUGAUUAAACCUUUCUCAAAACCUGGGUACCUUGUUCACCAAAAUAAGAAGAGGAAGCAUUUAUCUUGACUAUGUAGAAUGUAAGGUCACUGAGGAUAGAAGGCCUGUCUUUGUGUGUUGGAUUUGCAGAGCUGGGCCUCACACAGGGUGUCUGUUUAAUAGAGAUGACUCAACAACAAUGUGUUUAGCAGAAAGAUAAACAUAUUAAAUGCUGAACAAACAGCUGAGCCACAGUGGCUUCCAGCCCACAAUGGCACACCCUGUCCUUGACCACUUUGAACUAAACUUUAUUCUAAGACAUCCAUGUGAUGCGUUUCACCAGGGCCUGUUUGUGGCCCCACUGAGUUUGCUCAUCAGCUUCUUUCAGCUUGACAUCACAUUUCCUAAACGGGAGAAUGAAUCCUUUCCCCAGAGAGCUAGAGUUGAGCUAAUUCUCCUGGCACCAGCCAGAUGUGAUACAAAACCAGAGACCAUGGAGAACCUCACGCUCAAUGGCGUGGAAAAAGUCAAAGACAUUGCUGGAUUUCUUUUACAAAGCGGGUCAAAACACCUAGGAUGCCAGGUUAUUUGACAAUUUUCAAGGGGUUGCAGGCCUCAUACUUCUCUCUGUCCUACUAAUACCCAUAGGAUACAUGUCUUUCAGAAAAAGCAAAUCCUUGUCUCAAAGUUGAGUUGAAGUGGAUAUAUUCUUAUUUUAUGUGUCACAAGCAAAUUGGUAUCUAAAUGGGUAGGGGACAGGAUAUGGAGUGAAACAGCCAGGGUUAGAGACUUGGCUUUCUUGCUUGUUUGCCUUUUAAAUUGCCCUUGGUUUAUUUGUUUGGACGAUGGGAAUGCUUUUAUUCACCAUCAUCUUCUCAACAGAGGUGGAAUUUGGCUGAUAAGAAAAAUAGUUUUCUUUCUUGGAGAGAGACUCCUACGUAUCAGGUAAUAACUCAGUAAUCACCCAGCAACUAAAACUCUAAGUUCCUUCUCCCUUAUAAAGCAAAUGAGAUACAAAAAAAAAAAAAGCUACUUGAAACAUUUUCCUCUUAUUAUACAAAUGGAAAUGAGCGCUUUUGAUGAACAUUUCUAGAAGUAGAAAGCCAUCAUUUAAGUCUCUCCCCAGAAGUUUUCACUCUGCUCCGACACUUCCACAGUUGCACCGGCCCCCUUCCUUUCACAUCCUGUUUCACUCAGAGCUCAGGAGUUCAUUCCAUCAGCAGUAUUCAUUAAGUGUCUGUAGCACCGGGUGCUGGGGAUAUUGUGGUGAAUCAAUCAUGUUGGUAAAUACGGAUGAGGUUAACAGGGAAUAAAUUGAACCCAAGACACUCCCCUAUCUCUAUUCUAUAAUCAGUAAAAUGAGCAUAGGACAGUUUAAUGGCUUGGCCACAUCGUUGUCACUGAGGCUUUGACAAGAGCAGUUAAAGUCAAGUGGCGGUUGUGACUUCCUGUACCUUCAUUCACUUAUUCACCAUACACGUAUUGAAAACCUAAUUAUUUGCCAGGGACUGGGCCAGCUGCUGGGUUCAUCUGUGAGCAAAACACAUACAGAGCUCCUGGACUCAGGGAGUUUAGAGUUGAGAGGAGAAAGAAUGGGAACAUACACAAGUAAGUAAUUACAAAAUGUGAAGUGUUAUGAAGAAAACAAACAGGGGGCUGACAUAAGGAAUGAGGUCAAGGAGGGUCUCCCCAAGGAGGAAGGUGUAGGCAUCAAGAAUAAAAAAGGAGCCAGCCACGUGAAGCGCAAGGAAAGAACAUUCUAGGCAGAUGGAACAGCAUGCACAGGACAGAGCUUAGUGAGUUCUAGCAAAAAAGUAGUCUAGCCAUUGUGACAGGAGCUCACUUAGGAAGGAAGGAGGACGGGGUAGAAGAUACAGUUGGCAGAGGGCAAGCCAUGUUGUUUGUAUGUUAUUCAAAGUUUAAUGGGAAGUUAGCAUUCUCUAGGUAAGGAAAUGAGAGCAUGGAGUUUACAUUUUUGAACACUAUUUCUGCCUCUGCUAUAGGGAAUCUGUUGUGAGGGGGAGGGAUUGCAGGAAGCAGGAAGAUCUUCAGGAAGGAAUGCAGUGUUCCAGGCAGGAGAUGAGGGUGGUGGUAGUAAAGACAGCAAAACAUGGAUGGAUUCAAAAUAUAUUUUGGAGGUAGAAUCCACCAGACUUGAGGAUGGACUGAAUGUAGCAAAUGAGGGAAAGGAAGGAAUCAAGGCGAUCCCCCAGAUAUCUGGCCAUUUGCAGGGAUGAGGAAGACUGAGGGGGCAACAGGUUUAGAGAGAAAAAUUAAGGGUUCUCUUUUUUUUUCUUUUUUUUUUUUUUAAGAGAGAGAGAGAGUGAGUGGGGGAGAGGGGCAAAGAGAGAGAGGGAAUCCCAAGCAGGCUCCAUGCUGAGUGCUGAGCCUGACACGGGACUCAAUCCCACAACCCUGGGAUCAUGACCUGAGCCGAAAUCAAGAGUCAGACGCUCAACUGACCGAGCCAACCAGGCACCCCAAGAGUUCCUCUUUGGACGUGCAACAUAUGGAAAUGCCUGUGAGAUCCUAAAGGGGAAAUAUCAGGUAGAAAUCAGUGGACAAACGACAUGGUCAGCAACCUGGGCAGGAGAAGAUAUGUUUAUCAGUGAUCAGUCUGUUAGUUGUAUUUAAAUUCACAGAAGUGGAUGAGACUACAUACGGGGAGUCUGUCAAGAAAACAGAAAAGGUUCUACAAGCCAGCCCAGGAGUCAAAGGGGACACUGCAGGGUUCCAGUUUAUCAGCUGCCAGAGGAGUGGGAAGGAAGCCAGGGUAUGGGAUGUUUCAGAGUCAAGAGCAGACAGUGCUCUGAGAAGGACCUGUGCCCACAGAGUGGAACACUGUGAGCGUUCAGAUCAGAGGUCACUAAAACAGUGCCUGCUGGGUUUGGCCAAACAGUAGGGAGGUCCUUGUAGGUUAUGAGAAGAACUGUUUCAGUGUCAGUUGUCCGAUGGGACCACAGCCAGGCUGGAGCAGAUGGAAGAAAGGGGUGUGGGGAAGACAGGCUUUCGGCAUAACCUGAGUAGACUCUUUCAAGUUUGGAAGUGAAUGAAACACAGAAAUGGCUCAAUGGCUGAAGGGGUACUGAGGGUCAAAGGAGAGAUUUAUUGUGAAGAUGGGAGAUGUGAAAAAGCACACACCAGGAUUCAGGAGACAUGGUUUUGUCCCAUCACUGUCACUACCUUGGGAAUAUCCCUUGACCUUGCUGGAUCUCAGUUUCUUCAACACAGGCAAUACAGGACAUACUACAGGAAAAAGAGUAACUCUACAGAGGAGAAAUCUGGUAGACAUCAUCUUAACCACACGAUCAAAGUUAACCUCCUCAGUAACAGGGAAAAUGAACAUUAUGUACACCCUACCGCCAAUAUGAAGCACCAGAAAGGACACAACAUCACUUGUGUGGUACUGCGGCCCAAAAUGUCUUCAUCACUAGCAAACAUCUGAAAAACAUCAACUGAGGGACAUUCUACAAAAGAACUGGUUAAUACUUCCUAAACUGUCAAGAUUGAGAAAGACCAAGGAAUGGAUCCAGCUUAAAGGAGACCAAAGACCCACGAAGACGAGCUGCAAUGUGUGAUCUUAAAGUAGAAAUGGACCAGAAAGGAAUAUUAGUGAGACAAUCAGAGAGCUACAAAUAAGAUCUGCAGAUUAUGUAUUAUUAUUGUGUCAAUGCUAAUUUCUAGAUAUUAAUAAUUGUACUCUGGCUAUGUAAGAUGUUAACACUUGAAGGCAUCUGGGUGAGGGGUACGUAGGAAUCUUUUGUACCGUUUUUACUGCUUUUUAAUGUUUGAAAUUCUAUCAGUGGAUGGUUUAAAAUAGCAAAAUAAAAUAUAUUCAAUAAAUAGAAACUUUAAAAAUAGUAAGAUGUAAAAUAAAUGGAAAUUAUGUGUUCUUCUCAUCCUGCAACAGAUUAUAUAGCACAGCCUGCUUUAGAGGUUUCUGAGGAAAGAAGUCUGGCUCAGCACAGCUUGUUUGGGAGAUGGCGGGUAUCAAUCAGAUUUCUAGAGAAAGACCUGGCAUCUGGAUGUGGCUGCUGUUGCUGAUGAGGAAAAAUGGAAUGUGAGAGUGUCCUGGGGAUGUUUACCAGCAAUCUGUCCUUAGCAUCAUCCUGAAAUGUUGAACCAGAUCAGACACCAGAAUGCUUAUAGAGGUUAGGAAACCAAAAUAGGUUUUAAGUAGAGAAAAAUAAAGUUGGAUCUAUUUAACUUUAGAGCUUCACUCAUUCAAUCUUCAAACACUUGUUCACUUAUUCAUCCAAUCGUUUAUCCAUUCAUCCAUUCAUCCAUUCAUUCAUCCAUCCAUCCACACAAUAAAUAUUUAUUGAGCUCCUACUCUGUGUCUUUUGCUCUGCUAGCCUGGAUAAUAGAGUUUAUAGAACUGUGUGGUCAAAUUUAGUUCUCAGGAGCCACAUGUGGCUAUUUAACAUUUGAAAUGUGGCUGACCCAAAUUAAGACAUGCAGUAAAAGUGAAAAACACAACAGAUUUCAAAGGCUUAGUGUGAAAGAAAAAUCUCAUUAAAAAUUUUUGUAUUGAUUGCAUGUUGAAAGGAUGUUUUUACACAUCGGGUUAAAUUUUUUAAUUUUUUAAAUGUGUAUCUAUUUUUGAGAGAGAGAGUGUGAGCAGUGGAGGUGCAGAGACACAGAAUCUGAAGCAGGCUCCAGGCUCCAAGCUGUCAGCACAGAGCCCAACGUGGGGCUCAAACUCACAAACUGUAAGAUCAUGACCUGAGCUGAAGUUGGGACACUUAAACUGACUGAGCCACCCAGGUGCCCCAUGUUGGGUUAAAUUUAAAAAAUAUAUAUAUUUAUUUAUUUACUGGGGCACCUGGAUCGCUCAAUCAGCUAAGCAUCUGACUCUUGAUUUUGGCUCAGGUCAUGAUCUCAUUCAUGGUUCAUGAGAUCAGGCUCUGUGUCAGGCUCUGCACUGACAAUGUGGAACCUGCUUUGGCUUCUCUCUCUCUCUCCCUCUCUGCUCCUCCCCUGUGCACAUGCUCUCUCUCUCUCCCUCAAAUAAACAUUUUUUUAAAUUUUAUUUAUUUUUAAAAUGUAAUUUAUUGUCAAGUUUUCUAACAAACAGUGUCUACCGUAUGCUCCUGGUUUUGGGGGUAGACUCCCGUGAUUAAAUAAACAUUUUUAAAAAAUAAAAUUAAAAACACAUAUAUAUAUGUAUUUUUUAAAGAUUUUAUUUUACUAUUUUUUAAAACUAUGUAUUUAGUUUCUUUCUCUCUUUUUUAAAAUUUUAUUUUAGAGAGAGAGAGUGUGAGCAGAGGGGAGGGACAGAGGGAAAGAGACAGAAAAUCUUAAGUAGGCUCCAAGCUCAGCUCAGAACCCAGUGCGGGGCUCAGUUCCAUGAUCCUGGGGUCAUGAUCUGACCUGAAAUCAAGUCAGUCACUCAACCAACUGAGCCACCCAGCACCCCUAAAGAUUUCAUUUUAUUUUAUUUUUAUUUAUUUUAUUUUUUUUCAAUAUAUGAAAUUUAUUGUCAAAUUGGUUUCCAUACAACACCCAGUGCUCAUCCCAAAAGGUGCCCUCCUCAGUACCCAUCACCCAUUUUCCCCUCCCUCCCAACCCCAUCAACCCUCAGUUUGUUCUCAGUUUUUAAGAGUCUCUUAUGCUAAAGAUUUUAUUUUUAAGUAAUCUCUGCACCCAACAUGGGGCUUAAACUCACAACCCUGAAAUCAAGAGUCACAUGCUCUAUCAACUAAGCCAGCCAGGUGCCCCUAAAAUAUAUUUCUAUAAUUAUUCUCAUCUGUUUUUUUUUUUUUACCUUUUGAAUGUAGCUAACAGAAAAUUCAAAAUAUAUGUGUGGGUUGCAUAAUAUUUCGAUUGGACAGAGCUGCUAGUGACUAUUUGCAGAAGAUUUCUUCCUGUUCUUAUUAUGGUUUGGAGGAAAGAUUGAGAGAGUGUCUUUCUGGGAAGAUAAUAAAAUAUAAAGGCAGAAGAGAUGAUCCAUUGUGCUUAGAUGAUAUUUCUAGGUUUUAUGUCAUUAAAUUUUUGUUCUGAAAACUUUGCUUUGGAUAGGAAUUAUCUAGGAAUUGAAGAACAUGUAGAAAAUUUGGGAUGCUGCAAUACUUGCUACUUUCUGGUAUCUUCUGAGCUAUAACUGGACAUCCUAGAAACCUGAAUAUCCAUGGAUUCCUGCUUGCCUAUGGCGACACUAAAUAAAAUGGCUUAGAAGGAAGUAAAUAUUUAUGGAAUGGGUUGUUUAACGUGAUGAUACUGUGGGGACUAAGUGAAGCUAACAUUGAUCUUGCCUCUCUUAUGUAAAAAAGAUAUCCUGUGUUGUUUAUGUCUGCAUUAACCUGCUAGCAGGAAAAAAAUAAAUAAUUUGAACUGUAAUUAGGUUGGGAGUAACAUCUAAUGACUAAGGGAAUCUGUGAGAUUAACUAGUUUUGGCAAAAAGCUCUAAAUAAAAGUUAGAGCUCAAU
This is a long non-coding RNA of Acinonyx jubatus (cheetah), 12711 nucleotides long. RefSeq lists it as uncharacterized. The record is from RefSeq and is a predicted model, not a curated record. The transcript has 5 exons. Lineage: Eukaryota; Metazoa; Chordata; Mammalia; Carnivora; Felidae.